CAAUAUUUAAUUUAUAGAAUAUAAAAUAUUAAUUUUGGAAAUUAAAAAAUUAUUUAAAAUAUUGA
RNAcentral lists this transfer RNA (65 nucleotides) under Phenacoccus manihoti (cassava mealybug). Its description in RNAcentral is "tRNA-Pro". The record is from RNAcentral. Lineage: Eukaryota; Metazoa; Arthropoda; Insecta; Hemiptera; Pseudococcidae.